This 441-nucleotide ribosomal RNA is filed under the name uncultured bacterium. RNAcentral describes it as "partial 16S ribosomal RNA". It matches the Rfam family "Bacterial small subunit ribosomal RNA", at positions 342 to 795 of the family's 1533-position model. The record is from RNAcentral.
CGGGAGGCUGCAGCAGUGGGGAAUAUUGGGCAAUGGGCGCAAGCCUGACCCAGCAACGCCGCGUGAGGGAAGAAGGUUUUCGGAUUGUAAACCUCUGUCCUUGGGGACGAAGAAGUGACGGUACCCAAGGAGGAAGCUCCGGCUAACUACGUGCCAGCAGCCGCGGUAAUACGUAGGGAGCAAGCGUUGUCCGGAAUUACUGGGCGUAAAGGGUGCGUAGGCGGCAUAUUAAGUCAGGUGUGAAAUACUCGGGCUCAACCCGGGGGCUGCAUUUGAAACUGAUAUGCUUGAGUGUGAGAGAGGAAAGUGGAAUUCCUAGUGUAGCGGUGGAAUGCGUAGAUAUUAGGAGGAACACCAGUGGCGAAGGCGACUUUCUGGCUCAUAACUGACGCUGAGGCACGAAAGCGUGGGGAGCAAACAGGAUUAGAUACCCCUGUAGUC